CAGAUGGUUUCAUUUACUCUUCAAUGUAUCAUGAAAGUGAGGAAGCCUGGCAGGUACUCUUUGCAACAUGUUUGUUACUUCAUAAAUCUUUGGGCCUUGCUAAAGUUUACUCUAAGGCUUACUUUAGCACAGAUUUUUUUUUUAAAAAAACCAACAUUACAAAGUAUCAGUGGUAAAAAGACCAGUCACAAGUGUGACAAACGUAGGUAAAAAGUAUCAAAAAACUUUUCUGACCCAACAUAAUUUUGGCUAUUAGCUGUGGUUCUUAGAACCAGAGCUCAUUCCACAUUCCACAGCCUGGAGAUGGGGGUGAUGUCCCUACUUAUAGAGGUCUUUUAGUCCCUGAGCUUCCAUUCUGUGACGCUCACACUGAAUGAGCCCGGGAGUCAAUCCGCUCCCUGUCUCAUUGAGCCACUGAGCAGACACUGUGGGAGACUCACACUGGAAGUCCUCUCUGGGGUCACCCUUUCAGUCCCUGAGUGAGCAGUGAGGGCGAAUCAAACUGGAAGAGACAACAGCGCUCAGCUAGAAGCCUCCUCCAGUGCCUGAGGACCCCCUCAGUGAGACUCGGACCAGAAGGGAAUCCUUUGGGAUCACCUCCCUCCUACCUUUACACCCUUAGAAAUAAAUGCCAGUACCAGCCAGACUUCUUAGAACUGAAAGUGAACCUGAUGAUGCAAUUUGAUACGCGGUAAACCGAUAAAGGAGAAUAUUUGUGGCUCGCGGUUGAAAUGAAGCAUCCUUGAUGCUCGCUGAGUCUGGUGGUUUUCUUGUAGAUGUUUCAUUGGAAACUAGGGAACAUCAUCAGUGCUGGAAGGAAGGGCAGCUUGCUCUCAAUUUAUGUUCUAGUGGCUUCUUUCAGUGUUGGUACAAAUGGUCUUGGAGGUUCUUAGUUGGGCUUUUGUUGUUAGCUUCUUGGGCAGUUGCUUGACUGGGGUAUUUUGUAUUUCUUGAUUGUUGGUUUGAUGUGAAUGAUAGUGAUAAAACCUCAACGGCCCUUUUUAAUGCUAGGUGUGGCUGUUGAUGAUUAUAGAUCUUACAGUUUUCUAGCUUUGCAGACUGAGGGGAGGAAUAAGUGCACUCUUGCUGUCCAAUGUUCCUCGGAAGAGACAACGCUUGCUGGGCACGGCAGAAGAGGAAAGAAAAGCGAAAGAAGAAACAAGAAAGCAAGAAAAUGUCUCCAGCCCAAGACUGUUAGCCUUCAGCUGUGAUGUCAUCUUCUAUGCUGUGAGGCUCUUAGAAGACAGAAGACUGAGUUGUCACCCUGCAGUGUUGAUGGUAAAAAUGGAAGAAGGAGGAAUGGAAAGCAAGAAUAAAUAUGACCUUCGCCAAGAAUGCAACUUCACCCAGUAAAUCAAAACUGACCCGCAGAUAAUAGAUUUCAUACCUUUCUGGCCUGGUGUAAAUAUAGCCCGGCAAUAGUUCUUAGAACUAGAAAGAAAACCUCAACGGCCCUGUUUAAUUCCAGGUGUGGCCAGUAAUUGAUAAUAGAUUUUAUACCUUUUUUGCCUGGCAUAAUUUAGCUCUGGCGAUGGUUCUUAGAACCAGAAAGAAAAUCUCAUUGGCCCUUUUUAAUGCUAAGUGUGGUCAUUGAUCUGUAGAAGAGUUUAUAGUUUCUGAGUUUGAGGGGACGAACAAGUGCACUCCUGCUGCCAAAUGUUCCUCGAAAGAGACAACACUUGCUGGGCACAGCAGAGGAAGAAACAAAAUGAAAGAAGAAACAAGAACGAAGAAACAAGUCAGCAAGAAAUUGUCUCCAGCCCAAGUCCUUUUGGUUGUGAUGUCGCCUCUAUGCUAUGAGGCAUGAAUCCAAACUGACCUGUAGACGAAGAAGAAGACAUCAACAGUAAGACAGAUGGUUUCAUUUACCCUUCAAUGUAUCAUGAAAGUGAGGAAGCCUGGC
Molecule: long non-coding RNA, 1903 nt
Organism: Ahaetulla prasina
Lineage: Eukaryota; Metazoa; Chordata; Lepidosauria; Squamata; Colubridae
Exons: 3
Source: RefSeq, a predicted model, not a curated record